AACUCUUAGCGGUGGAUCACUCGGCUCGUGCGUCGAUGAAGAACGCAGCUAGCUGCGAGAACUAAUGUGAUGCAGGACACAUUGAUCAUCGACACUCGAGCGCGCUGCGGCCCGGGUUCCUCCCGGGGGCCACGCCUGUCUGAGGGUCG
This is a ribosomal RNA of Cyprinus carpio carpio, 149 nucleotides long. It matches the Rfam family "5.8S ribosomal RNA". From Rfam's summary of the family: 5.8S ribosomal RNA (5.8S rRNA) is a component of the large subunit of the eukaryotic ribosome. It is transcribed by RNA polymerase I as part of the 45S precursor that also contains 18S and 28S rRNA. Functionally, it is thought that 5.8S rRNA may be involved in ribosome translocation. The record is from Ensembl. Lineage: Eukaryota; Metazoa; Chordata; Actinopteri; Cypriniformes; Cyprinidae.